RNAcentral lists this ribosomal RNA (497 nucleotides) under uncultured bacterium. RNAcentral's name for it is "partial 16S ribosomal RNA". It matches the Rfam family "Bacterial small subunit ribosomal RNA", at positions 28 to 507 of the family's 1533-position model. The record is from RNAcentral.
GAUGAACGCUGGCGGCGUGCCUAAUACAUGCAAGUCGAGCGAACAGAUGAGGAGCUUGCUCCUCUGACGUUGGCGGCGGACGGGUGAGUAACACGUGGAUAACCUACCUAUAAGACUGGGAUAACUUCGGGAAACCGGAGCUAAUACCGGAUAAUAUAUUGAACCGCAUGGUUCAAUAGUGAAAGACGGUUUUGCUGUCACUUAUAGAUGGAUCCGCGCCGCAUUAGCUAGUUGGUAAGGUAACGGCUUACCAAGGCAACGAUGUGUAGCCGACCUGAGAGGGUGAUCGGCCACACUGGAACUGAGACACGGUCCAGACUCCUACGGGAGGCAGCAGUAGGGAAUCUUCCGCAAUGGGCGAAAGCCUGACGGAGCAACGCCGCGUGAGUGAUGAAGGUCUUCGGAUCGUAAAACUCUGUUAUUAGGGAAGAACAAAUGUGUAAGUAACUAUGCACGUCUUGACGGUACCUAAUCAGAAAGCCACGGCUAACUACGUG